This 653-nucleotide ribosomal RNA is filed under the name uncultured bacterium. RNAcentral's name for it is "bacterial SSU rRNA". It matches the Rfam family "Bacterial small subunit ribosomal RNA", at positions 27 to 674 of the family's 1533-position model. The record is from RNAcentral.
GGAUGAACGCUAGCGGCAGGCCUAAUACAUGCAAGACGAGCGGUAAACGGUUCAGCAAUGAGACUAUGAGAGCGUCGUAAGGGUGCGUAACACGUAUGCAAUCUGCCUGGAACUGGGGCAUAGCUCGCCGAAAGGCGGAUUAACUCCCCAUAAGAUCAUUUGGUGGCAUCACAUUGAGUGAUUAAACUGAUGGUGGUUCCAGAUGAGCAUGCGGAUGAUUAGCUAGUUGGUAGUGUAACGGACUACCAAGGCGAUGAUCAAUAGGGGAACUGAGAGGUUGAUCCCCCACACUGGCACUGAGAUACGGGCCAGACUCCUACGGGAGGCAGCAGUAGGGAAUAUUGGACAAUGGGUGCAAGCCUGAUCCAGCCAUGCCGCGUGCAGGAAGAAGGCUUUCUGAGUUGUAAACUGCUUUUGCCAGGGGAUAAAAGACCGAUGCGUCGGGAAUUGAAGGUACCUGGUGAAUAAGCCACGGCUAACUACGUGCCAGCAGCCGCGGUAAUACGUAGGUGGCAAGCGUUGUCCGGAUUUAUUGGGUUUAAAGGGUGCGUAGGCGGCCUUGUAAGUCAGUGGUGAAAUACUUCAGCUUAACUGUCGAGGUGCAAUUGAUACUGCGAGGCUUGAGUACUGAUGAGGUAAGCGGAAUGGACGGU